UUUCAUUCGAUAAAAAACACUCGAAUGAAAAACAUGGAUUUUUGAGCGCGUUCGACGUUGAUAUAAACUUAUGCAUUUAAUCAUAGAAUAACAAAUAAUAAGUACAAAAACUAAAGUAUUUCUCGGACUCCAUUGUGAUAGUUGGCAUUGAAAUUGUUGACAAAAACGGAACUAAAAGAAAAGAGCGUGUACGUGUCAAAGUGUUCGUUGUGUGUUCCCGCUUAUUUAGUUCAGGAGAAAAUCAAUAUAACUGUGAAAACAGCGCUGUAGCUGUUUUCUGUGACGUCGAAUCUCACAGCAAAAGGGAAAUCACUAGGGGAAACUUGAGUUUUUCAACAAAAAGAGAAAAAUUGUCAAGUUUCGAGCACAGCAGAGAGGAGUAAUCGAAGGAGAAACAAAGGAUCUGCUCCAACUACAAAAGAAACAACAACAACAAGAACAAUCCAGCGUAGAUAAGCGGAACAGCAAAAAGAGACCAAAAUGGCAAAUAUAUUAACCAAUCCGAGGUACAUGUUUGGACCGACUGCUGCACUCGAGUUGACAGCGGUUCUCGACCAGGUGGACAACAAUACGAAUGCGACGCAGCUGUUCAAGAACAACAUCUAUAAUAUCAUGAACGAGUACAAUCGGGAGGAGGCGCGCCUGAAAACCUUCGCCAAUUGGCCUCUGGCGUGGCUCGACAAGAAUCAGUUGGCCCGAACGGGCAUGUUCUAUACGAACGAGGACGAUAAGGUCAAGUGCUAUUUCUGCGAGGUGGAAAUCGGGCGCUGGGAUCUCGAGGAUCAACCUGUACCUGAGCAUCUGCGCUGGUCGCCCAACUGUCCGCUCCUGCGCCGUCGCACCACCAACAAUGUGCCGCUAAACAGCGAGGCCCUCGAACGCAUCCUGCCCCCCAUCAGCUACGACAUUUGCGGCGCCAACGAUUCAACGGUGGAGCUGCGCGAGAGCGCCUAUGCCGAAGGUCGCAUACCCAUGUCGCACAUUACCCAGUCCACCGGCAUGAAUACCGGCGACUCCGCGCUGAUGGGCUCCAUUGCCACCUCGACGGCGGCCACCCAGGCCAACGGGGAUGUCCAGCCGGAGACGUGUCGGAACGUAGCCAGCGGCAAUUAUUUUCCCGAGUAUCCCGAAUACGCCGUGGAGUCGGCGCGCCUGCGCACCUUCGAGGAAUGGCCGCGCAACCUAAAGCAGAAGCCAAUGCAGCUCGCCGAGGCGGGUUUCUUCUAUACGGGCGUCGGCGACCGCGUCCGCUGUUUCAGUUGCGGCGGCGGUCUCAAGGACUGGGACGACAACGACGAGCCCUGGGAGCAGCACGCUCUCUGGCUCAGCCAGUGCCGCUUCGUCAAGCUGAUGAAGGGGCAGCUCUACAUCGACGCUGUGGGUGCCAAGCCGGAGCCAGUCGCAGAGAAAGAAGAGAGCACCACAGGCGCAGCCGAGACGCCCGCUACCACUUCCCCCACGACGACAACAACAACAGCAGCGACGGCGAUCGUCGAGGCCCCUUCCGGCGAUGUCGCCCCAUCGGCGGCCACUCGCAUAUACGAGAAGAUCGUGUCGGCCGCCAACCAGGAGGGCAGCACCAGCACGGCCGGAAGUGCGGCACCGGCGCCCAACGGUUCGCCGGUCAUUCCCGAGGAGAAGCUCUGCAAGAUCUGCUAUGCCGCGGAGUACAACACGGCGUUUUUACCCUGCGGCCAUGUGGUGGCCUGCGCCAAGUGCGCCUCGUCCGUGACCAAGUGCCCGCUCUGCCGGAAACCCUUCACCGAUGUGAUGCGUGUAUAUUUUUCUUAAGCCCCACAACCAUUAGGCGGAUCUCAAGUAUUAAUCAAAAUUGUAACAAAUUAAUAUCCGUUGCCAUCGCCACUGAUAUCGAUACAAUUUUGAUUAGAGCUCGCAAUGGUCCGCUAAUGAUCCAGGGCAAAACCGAUAUGAAAACCCUGAAUGUAAUAAUAGAUAAGAGUGCAGCCAAUAUAUCCACGUAUGCACCCAUGCGCAUAUGUACGCGCAUACAAGCGUGCGUUAUUUA
This is an RNA transcript of Drosophila obscura, 2026 nucleotides long. It is a transcript of the gene named death-associated inhibitor of apoptosis 1, with no coding region annotated. The record is from RefSeq and is a predicted model, not a curated record. The transcript has 3 exons. NCBI's taxonomy places the organism in Eukaryota, Metazoa, Arthropoda, Insecta, Diptera, Drosophilidae.